This 29-nucleotide non-coding RNA is filed under the name Cricetulus griseus (Chinese hamster). The record is from RNAcentral. Lineage: Eukaryota; Metazoa; Chordata; Mammalia; Rodentia; Cricetidae.
CGCCGCAAGGCGGCUGCCAGCCAUUUUGU